GCCACUGGGAACCACGCGCUUUGUCGGGAUGACCACCGCCACGACAGAGAGGAAAAGCUUGAGAUCCCUAGGGUUCGUCGCGAACUCAGAACUAUGACUCACUUAGUGAUGUGGACGAAGAGCUGGAUGCAUUAACUUCACGUAUAAAGCUGGAGGAAGGAAAUACAAAGUUCUAGAAAUGUCACUUUUCAGGGGAGAUGGUUACAGGAAAGGGAAGUUGAGUUGACAAUCAAAGUUAUGCAGAAGGUAAAUAGCUAAACCUUGACUAUUUUUUCCUUUUAACUGUAAGCUUGCUUCUUGUUGAAAUGGUUUUAAAUGUAGAAGGGAUCUAUUGAGUAUUACAAAAACAACCCAGCAAUGUACAUGUGUACUUUGGAAGAAAGGUAGCAUCUUGGCGUUCAAAAAGUCGUGAUCUUUGUUUGGAAAGAUUUUAUCCCUCUCCGACUUGGGUAAUGAAAGCAUGGGAAACAACUCAAGAUGAAAUGAUGAUUGCUGGUGGUCUGCAUGUUGUGGUUUUUAACAAAAUGGUUGUGUUCACGGUGUUCAAUCAUUUUAAAAUUGACACUUUUGAAGCUUCAUGUCUUAUACUGUGGCAGGUUAUGGUGAAAUGGUUAUACUAUAAGUUUUAAUUUGAAAUCCACAAGAUGUCAACCUACUAAGUGAAGUUACCUUAAUCCUAUAUAAGUUGAAGUGAAUAGAUGGUAUGGUAUUAGGCUUAAUUAUUUUGAUAUUUCCUUUGUUUUUGAAGUCUACUUUCUGGAUGAACCUGGUCCUAGGAAUCAUAUGCCAAGAGUACAUGUUUUGAUAACAUGACACCAACAUUAUGCACUACAAAAACUCUUAAAUCAAUAUUUAUUAAAAUGUUGAAUUUGUUGCAUAACAAUUUUAUGAUUUGCUCAAGUCUCUUAAAUAAAGGAAGCCAAACAUUAAAAGUGUUUUGUCCUAUAAGGGCACUGUCAACUAAUUAUUUUUUUAUUAUAUUAGGUACAAUUAUUACAUGCAAAUGAAUGGUAAAGCAGAAUGUAUAGCAUCACCUUAUGGCACAUGUUAGUUGCAUGGAUCAUCUCUAUGAUUUGUCAUGUUACUUGUAGCUCAACCUUAGGACUAUAAAUCACUGACUAUUAUUGUGGAAACAACAAAGAGAAAUGAAAAUUGCCGCUUUCAAGAAGCAUCUGAGUGUUUACUAUUUUAUACUCUAUUAUAUAUAGUCACUCAAGCUUCUAGAAUUUUUGUCAGCUGCAUCAAAAUGGGAAGCAACUUGAGGUUUUUGAGUCUUUGCAUCAACUCAUGCUCAACUUUAGCUUGGUUUUUAUGUUAACAGUUGCCCAAAAAUAGAGCAAAUUGUUUUGAAAUUUGUUCAUGACCAUAUCCAUAAUGCUCCAUCACUAGCAGCUGCAUUAAUAAGAAUGCACUUUCAUGACUGUUUUGUAAGGGGAUGUGAUGCAUCAGCCCUUUUGAACUCAACAACCAAUCAGGUUGAGAAGAAUGCUCGUCCAAAUCUUACAGUAAGAGGCUUUGACUUCAUUGGCAUUAUAAAGAGCCUUGUUGAAGCUGAAUGCCAUGGUGUGGUCUCUUGAGCUGAUAUCCUCACUUUGGUUGCCAAAGACACUAUUGUUGCAACAGAUGUAAAUCAUGCUGUUCUUGCUGUUGGGUAUGGAGUUGAAGAUGGUGUUCUGUAUUGGAUCAUUAAAAAUUCAUGGGGAAGCAACUGGGGUGUCAAUGGUUACUUCAAGAUGGAAUUAGGGAAGAAUAUGUGCGGUUCUUGAGUCCACUUUCAGCAGUCCCUUUGGUAUCUCAUGUUGGUUUUGGGCUUUAUGAGUUGGGCUUUCCUGGGGUUGCUAAAUGUAUAGAGAUUGGACUGCCAGAGCUUAUAUAUUACUAGUAUUUGUUUCGCAGAUUGGUUUUAGUGCUCCUCAAGGUUGUGGAAAGACAACCCUUGUCUUUGCUGUUGACUAUCUUUUCGAAGUGAUUGGCAGACUCGGAUAUGGCUUGAGGCGAUUCUCUGGGAGAAGAAAUAUGAUAUGGAUGUUUAUAUAUUGCUGUCAAGAGCGCAUGGGGCACACGAAGCAGCCUAGUGAUGAGAGAAUCCAUCGAUGGUACUUGAUCUUCAACAAGAACUUGAUCACGCACAUGAUCAAAGUCUGAAUGGAGACUCCUCAAGAUAAGAACCAUAUAGAACUUAUCCAGCUUUUUAUUCACUUCUUCCAGCGAAUCAGCCACAAGGAACUUCUUCAACUCUUCCACUGCAACCCGAGCUUUACCUAUGUGUGCAAUCAUGCCAUGACUGAUUUGUUUGAGGGUUGUGACCUUCAUAGUUGCAUUAAACAAACUCUGAAUAUAAUUGGAAAAGAUUUCUCGGGCCUUCUUCCAAAAAGGAACAACAUGUUUUGAAUGAUCUAAGGAUCUCCAAAACAUCUGCCUCGACUGAUUGCCAUAAGACAGCGCAUAGCUGAUAAUCCAGCUUUUCCCACUCAGAUUUUCUGUCACUUGGAACAGUAUCAAUACCUUUUUCCAAGUGGUUAUGGUGUCCUUGGCCGAGAAACCACAGCUCAACCGAAGCAGACCAAGACAAAUAGUUCUUCCAGUUUAGUUUUGCAGUCGUGAUAGUUGGGGUUCCAGAAAAGGAGAAGGCAAGUCCAGCAGAAGUCAUUUCUGAUCAAUGACAAAAACCCUAACGGAAAAGGGUAGAACUAAGCACAAGCUAACACACGAGCUUGCUGAAACGAAAAACCAACACUUGGAACACACUCAGGAGGGGCCGACGAAGCUGCUGGGACAACUCGGGCAAGCUUUCGAUGACGACACGGCGGCGCGUGGACUUCACGUGCCGGAAAACACGCGAGACUGUAACGGCGCGUGGCGGCGCGUGGGAGCUUCGAUGGCGGCCGGAGACGACGGACGGCGGCGAACAGAACCCGCUCUGAUGCCAACUUGAAGCUUUGAUAUUUUAAGCAAGGCUAAAGAGAUGGUGAUGCUAGCAGAGAAAAUGAGGCUAAAACUUUUGUCUGGCUCAAAUUCUCAAACCAAUGCGACUAAUGAUGAGGAGAUGGGUUCAAAGGAAGAGAUGCAAGAUUGGUUAUUGAGUGUUGGUAUUAUAUCCCCUGUUACCAAAGAGUCUGUGGGUGCUUUGUAUCAUCAACAACUUUCUCGUCAGUUGGCAGAUUUUGUUAAAGUUCCACUUGAGAAAGCUGGGGGAAUUAUCAAUCUUAUUGAUAUAUAUUGUCUCUUCAAUCAUGCUUGUGGCAUAGGUUUCAAUAUUGUCUGUGUUCCCUCUGACAUGAUUUUCUUUCAAGUAGUACAUUUUUUGAAUUAAUGCUUCCCUUCUUUUGAUUGUUUAAUAAACAGAAUUGAUCUCACCUGAUGAUUUGUUGCAAGCAUCUUCUCUGUGGGAGAAGUUUGAUGUGUAUGUUUUACAUUAUCUUCUAUUUAAAUUACUUCUGUUACUGUGAUUCGGUAAAUUAGUAUAGACUUGGUGAGUAGGUGACUUCAUUUCAUUCUCCAUUGAA
This is an RNA transcript of Glycine soja, 3506 nucleotides long. It is a transcript of the gene named thiol protease aleurain-like, with no coding region annotated. The record is from RefSeq and is a predicted model, not a curated record. The transcript has 11 exons. NCBI's taxonomy places the organism in Eukaryota, Viridiplantae, Streptophyta, Magnoliopsida, Fabales, Fabaceae.